ACUCAAAUGAAUUGACGGGCACCCGCACAAGCGGUGGAGCAUGCUGUUUAAUUCGAAAAUACGCGAAGAACCUUACCUAGGUUUGACAUCCCUCGCAAAGCUAUAGAGAUAUAGUGGAGGCUAUCGGGGUGACAGAUGGUGCAUGGUUGUCGUCAGCUCGUGUCGUGAGAUGUUUGGUUAAGUCCAACAACGAGCGCAACCCUUAUUGUUAGUUGCUAACAUUUAGUUGAGAACCCUAACAAUACUGCCGAUGCAAGUCGGAGGAAGGUGGGGAUGAGGUCAAAUCAUCAUGCCUCUUACAUCUAGGGCUACAGGCGUGCUACAAUGGCUUAUACAACGAGUCGCAACACAGUGAUGUGAAGCAAAUCUCUUAAAGUAGGUCUAAGUUCGGAUUGGAGUCUGCAACUCGACUCCAUGAAGUUGGAAUCGCUAGUAAUCCCGAAUCAGAAUGUCGGGGUGAAUACGUUCUCGGGUGUUGCACACACCGCCCGU
Molecule: ribosomal RNA, 492 nt
Filed under: uncultured bacterium
Lineage: Bacteria
Description: bacterial SSU rRNA
Rfam family: Bacterial small subunit ribosomal RNA
Source: RNAcentral